GCUUCAAGGUGGUAGUCAAAGCUCCUCUAGUAUCUUUGGUCCUAAUGCACUUCCCAAAUAGUCUCCGUGCUAGUUCUGUGCCUGACAUCCGUUGCAAUGAAAGGAUCUGCAUGGAUCCAAGGAUUUUGAUUAUUUUUGUAUCUGCAGGAGGAAAGUCUCAAUAAAUGGCAUGACUUUCAGGGCCAUCGAUGUAGAGAGGGAAGAUAGACACAAAAAGCAGGAUUAACUCAGCGGGACAGGCAGCAUCUCUGGAGAGAAGGAAUGGAAGAGGGAUCCUGGGGUGCAUACGUGAGGCGUUGCACCUUGAGAGGCCGAAUAUAAACUUUGAAUGCAAGGAGAAAGUACAUAGUUGACGCCAAGGCCCUUAACAAUUAUGUACAGAGGGAUGACACAAAGGGAUGAGGUGGGAGUGAAAGAAGAGGGACCAUAUUGAAUACUUUUGUAAAUGUCGGUGUCCUUAACAUGGUGACUCUUGCAUAAUUGUACUGUUUGCAAACAAGGAAUCUCACUUUACCAAGUACAAGUGACAGUAAAAGAAUCAAUAGCUUCGAACGAAA
This is a long non-coding RNA of Amblyraja radiata (thorny skate), 557 nucleotides long. RefSeq lists it as uncharacterized. Lineage: Eukaryota; Metazoa; Chordata; Chondrichthyes; Rajiformes; Rajidae. The record is from RefSeq and is a predicted model, not a curated record. The transcript is spliced from 2 exons.